Molecule: long non-coding RNA, 367 nt
Organism: Macrobrachium nipponense
Lineage: Eukaryota; Metazoa; Arthropoda; Malacostraca; Decapoda; Palaemonidae
Exons: 3
Source: RefSeq, a predicted model, not a curated record
UUAAUGAAGGCGACGCUGAUUGGUGGAACUCCGUAAGCAAUGUUUCUUAUUGGCUUGCUUAUGUGUGACGUCAUAGACAACAACAAUGUGACACAUACCAAACUUGAAAAAUAUCACGGCCUGUCAAACUAGUUGAAAUAUGAUUCUGCGAUUUAUCAGACCCUACGGAGGACGUCGAUGUUCUUGACUUGGACAGUAAGCAGCAUUGUGUAAUGUGAAUCAUGGGCAUCAACUGGGAAUAUCUUCGAGGGAUUACCAGGGAGGCUGCAGAAUGGGGAGAAGAGGAGCUAGAAGAACUAUACCAGACUUUAGCAGGAAUCUCAAAGCUGCGGUCACGGGACAAAUCUAUAGAAAAGCUGGAGCUUUU